UCCUGAUCAUAAAUAACUCUCUAUUACCCAUUCUUAUGUUGGCAGUUACAAUGCUAAACUGAAAUAUAAUUUCUAUUUAAUAGAAAAUAACUUUCCCUCAAUUAUCCAGAUCUAAUCCUGUACUCCAUUUCCAAUUCAAGUGGAUUAUUUUCUUGAACAGGCCUUGAUUUCAUUCAAAAAAAUAUUCACUGAGUAGAUCAACUAUUAUGAUUCUGCCAAAGGCUUGUUGAUGUAUUCUAAUUAUGAGAUUGGGUUAAGUAGUUAGGAUGUUGUGAACCUACUACACUCAUUCCUUGGCAAUUUCAAUUCUGAAGACCUAGAAAGUCCUGAAGCCUGUUGAAGGCUUGCUCCUUUGCUCUCACAGUAUUCUUGACUACCCCCCAGUUCAUUAAAUGAGUUGUUCAUUUUAAUCCUCAGUUUCUUCACAUAUACAUCAUUGCUGCAUUUGGAUUGACUUUGCGAAGCAUUUUUGAGUGAUUCCUGAAGUAGUUUGUAUUUUUAAAAUGGAAUAUUGUUCUCUGAUUUCCAAGUGAAAGCGAAAAAGAGCAAGUCAGUGUUUGUUCUAAUAGAAUAAAUAAUAAAUCUAAAUUUGCAGGCUGUUCUUGGGCACUCUGGAGAUGCUGGGUACUACUGUUAGCUUGAGGAAUGGAUAUGAGAAUAGUCUCCAGAUGCAAUUGAUGCUGGUGUGAUUUCUAAAGAUGAUUAAAAUUGGCCAGAGGGAAAAAAAAAGAAGGCCUUAGAAAUAUACUCCAGAUGGAGGUAAAAAUAAAAUAUGUUUCAACAGAGAGGAAGAUAAUACCAAAUGAUCCUUUGGGCAGAGUAGCUCAGAAUAGAAGACACAAAGCAAAACUUGCAUUAACUCAUAAAAAAAAGUAGGAAAAAAAUCCAAACAUGGGAAUCUCAAACCAACAGAGAGUGUGUUUACUCUAGAAAAGAAAAUGACUCAUUAUGAAGAAAACAGAUGAGCAGAUGAUGAGAGAAAAGUCCAGUUUUAAGGAUGGAGUUUUGAUCAGUAGAAGACCCAUACAACUCCUUUCUGCAGCUUGUGGGUGGAUUGGUGAAUAUGAAAACUUCAUAUCCACAGUUAGGUUAAGAGAGAAAGGGAGGGAGUUUGUAAUAUGUACUUAGGAUCUUUACUAGAAGAAUACAACUAAUAUAAAACAAUAUAUCCCUAUAGAUAAUGAUUAUAUUAUAUGUGAUUAUAAUAUAAAGAUGUGAUUAUAAGAGAACUUUAUUAAAUUGAUUAUCAUAAUCAGUUACUAGAUCAUUCCAUAGUUGCUGCCAGUAGACUGGAAAACCAGACAAGCAAAUAGCUAUUCAUCUAAAAACUGAAAGCCUUAGAAUAAGAGGAAGAAACAAUGUAGCCUUACUCAGAGACAAAAAGCCUGGAAGCCUUCCCCACCCCCACUUGUAGAAUUCCAGUUGAAAUUCAUAGUUUGGAGACCAGUGCAUCUGUUUUCUACAGUGAUGGCUGCACCAGCUCAAGAAGACUGGAGUAAGUACAUGUGCAUAUGAACCUGCCCCCUUCUGCCUUUUCUCCUAUUGGCACUCUUAGAAAAUUGGCUGGUGCUGCUCCUAUUCAAAGUGGGGCUUUCCUAGUCAGUUCUCCAGCACAAAUUUUGGUUGUCUCUAGAAAUAUCCUUAAUAGACACCCUCAAAGGCAUGCUCUAAGUUUGUAGGCUGCUCUGCCUCAGAUCGACUUGGCAAUCAUGGGAUCCCUUAAUCCACUGGCUUCGAGUUAAUUACAAACAGAUCAUCGCACUUAUACUAUCCCCACCUAUUUCAGACCUUGGGAAGAGACUGAUUUAUAAUGAGAGGGGUCUCUCUUGGCAAGCUCAGAUGAGCCAACAGGUAUGCUGAGAGUUGUGGAGUAGAUAGUUUGUGGUAAGUGUCUUUGGGUGGCUACCGUAGCUAACAGUAGUGAAUUGCUUUCAGCUAGCACAAGAAUGGAAAUUUUAGUGACUUGAAAGUAGGUAAGAGCAUGAACUGCUUUUCCAUGAGACCUGGGUUCAAUUGCCAUCACCUACAUGGUGGCUCGAAACUGUAUCUUUAGUAUCAUGGGAUCUCUAAUCCUCAUCCAGUCUUGUGGGUAACUGCAUGCACAUGACAGACAUACAUGUAAGUAAAACACUCAUGCUCAUGAAAAUAAAAGGGAUUUUUAAAGGAGAGAACGGGAACCUUAGUUUCAUUCAUUCAAAGAACUGAAGUCUACCAGUCUGCAUUAAACUUGAAGAAAACUCAGACUCAGAAAAGAACCUGGCUUAGUCCACCCCUGACUUGAUUGCAUUGUUAUGAAACCAUAAGUAGAUGUCUUAAUUGAGUUUCUAUUCACAGAUUCUCUGAUUAGAUGAUUUGAGGUUGUUUCAAGUCAAUUAUUUUGUGGUCAUCCAUUAAUAUCAGGAGGAGGUGUUUGUUCUGACUAAGGAAUUCACAGAGAGAUUGGUGGAAUAAACCCUGAUAGUGUUUGCUGAGGUAUAAAUGGAAGUUGAUCAACUUAUGAUAGGU
Molecule: long non-coding RNA, 2505 nt
Filed under: Mus musculus (house mouse)
Lineage: Eukaryota; Metazoa; Chordata; Mammalia; Rodentia; Muridae
Description: long non-coding RNA chr9:28349929-28352434
Source: RNAcentral